AACGCUGGCGGCGUGCCUAACACAUGCAAGUCGAACGGAGUUCCUUCGGGGACUUAGUGGCGAACGGGUGAGUAACGCGUGAAGAACCUGCCUUUCAGUGGGGGACAACAGUUGGAAACGACUGCUAAUACCGCAUAAUGUUAUUUGAGGGCAUCCCCGGAUAACCAAAGAUUUAUUGCUGAAAGAUGGCUUCGCGUCUGAUUAGCUAGAUGGCGGGGUAACGGCCCACCAUGGCGACGAUCAGUAGCCGGUCUGAGAGGAUGAACGGCCACAUUGGGACUGAGAUACGGCCCAGACUCCUACGGGAGGCAGCAGUGGGGAAUAUUGGGCAAUGGGCGAAAGCCUGACCCAGCAACGCCGCGUGAAGGAAGAAGGCCCUCGGGUUGUAAACUUCUUUUACCAGGGACGAAUAAUGACAGUACCUGGAGAAAAAGCAACGGCUAACUACGUG
This 451-nucleotide ribosomal RNA is filed under the name uncultured bacterium. Its description in RNAcentral is "bacterial SSU rRNA". It matches the Rfam family "Bacterial small subunit ribosomal RNA", at positions 32 to 507 of the family's 1533-position model. The record is from RNAcentral.